GUGCAGGAUCGAACGAUCGCUCUCGGCGCCUUGCGUGCCGAGGGAGGAAAGUCCGAGCUCCACAGGAAGCCAAGCUGGGUAACGCCCAGGUCCCGGCCAUUUUACGAGGAUGACGGGAACGGACAGUGCCACAGAAAACAGACCGCCUCGGUUGCUUGCAACCGGUGGCAAGGGUGAAAAGGCGAGGUAAGAGCUCACCGCGUCGGCGGCGACGUCGGCGGCAUGGAAAACCCCUUGGGGAGCAAGACCAAAUAAGUCGGGUGCCGCUCAUCGAAAGAUGAUCUGCGGCGGCGUGUUCCGCGCCGUGCCUAAAAGCUAACCCGGCGGGUAGGUUGCUAGAGGUCGCCGGCAACGGCGAUCCCAGAUGAAUGAUCGUUGGGUUUGCGGCCAUACACACGCCGCACGCCUGACAGAACUCGGCUUACAGAUCCUGCACAUCU
This 440-nucleotide RNase P RNA is filed under the name Myxococcales bacterium. RNAcentral's name for it is "RNase P RNA component class A". It matches the Rfam family "Bacterial RNase P class A". From Rfam's summary of the family: Ribonuclease P (RNase P) is a ubiquitous endoribonuclease, found in archaea, bacteria and eukarya as well as chloroplasts and mitochondria. Its best characterised activity is the generation of mature 5'-ends of tRNAs by cleaving the 5'-leader elements of precursor-tRNAs. The record is from RNAcentral. Lineage: Bacteria; Pseudomonadati; Myxococcota; Myxococcia; Myxococcales.